This is an RNA transcript of Prunus dulcis (almond), 3642 nucleotides long. It is a transcript of the gene named protein ELC-like, with no coding region annotated. NCBI's taxonomy places the organism in Eukaryota, Viridiplantae, Streptophyta, Magnoliopsida, Rosales, Rosaceae. The record is from RefSeq and is a predicted model, not a curated record. The transcript has 5 exons.
ACAAGUAAGUUUUUCUGCGUGGUUGGGUCGAUGCCGCUUAAUUCUCGGCAAUGUCGCUCUCCGACGAAAAAACACUUACUCCGCAAGACACGCGCCCUUUUCAUUUCCAAAUCCCCUCUCUUUUUCCCAUAUUUCUCUUCUUCUUCUUCCCUCUUCACACAAAUGACAGCUUCCCAGCUCCAAAACCCAGCUGCAACACACAGACAGAGUGGACACACCCCGCUUCCCACCCAUCAUCAGGCUGAAAUUGAACAAACAAUUAUAGAUAGAGGGAUUAUUUUUCUGUAAUAAUCGGCCGACUUCGGUAGUUUGGUGAUAGGAUCAUAGAGAAAUUCUGCAUCAGUAAGGGGAGGAAGAUGUACAGGGUUUAUGAAUUUGAUUGUGAUUUUCCAAGAAAGUUAUUUUAUUAAAAAAGAUAGUUUCUUAAUGACUGGAAAAGAAGUAUUGGGGUUGAGAGGCUUGCUGGUAUGAGGAGUGACUUGUAUGCCUGUUCUUAAUUUGCCAAUUUGAGGAUAGGGGGUAUAGCAGCUCAGGUAGCUGAGUCACCAUUUUUAUGCAGCUAAGCAGGUUCGAGCAUUUUUUUGAUACCAUGACCAAUGAGGUGCCUGGACUAUCAGGUCAAUGGAUCCAGAAAAAAGCAACCUUAGUUGUUCCAAACAUGGUUAAGAAUGUACACAAUCAUGUCUCUGUACAGACAGGGGAGGAAUUUUCCAUGGAGUUUCUUCAGGAUCAUUUUGCAGCGAGAAGAGGUCCUGCUGUGACUGAUAUGGUUGAGAAUUGUGAAAAUAAGGUUGGAUUCAAUUAUAAUCAGAAUUAUCAGCUGGGGUAUUAGGAUCUUACUGGUAUUCUGGGGUUAAGGAGGAUGGACUCUGAGGUGCAUCUGAUACUUCUGAUUUUGUAUCGGCGAAAGGGUUGUGUAAAUAGGUUGAAAACGAUGUUUGUGUUGACAAGUUAAGCAGAUGCAUCAGGAGGAAGUUGAUAGCGGACAUGUGAAGUUGAUGGUUCAAUUUGGCUGUACCAGACAAAAGACUUCUGGAGAGAGGCGCAGAUCCUUUCAAAUCUUCAUCAUCCAAAUGUGGUUGCAUUCUAUGGGGUAGUACCUGAUGGAGCUGGUGGUACGUUGGCAACUGUAACUGAAUUCAUGGUCAGUGGGUCACUUAGGCAUGCGCUACUUAAGACAGAUAGAUCGCUUGACCGUCAUAGAAAGCUUAUAAUUGCAAUGGAUGCAGCUUUCGGCAUGGAAUACUUGCAUUCAAAGAAUAUUUCUUGAUUUGAAGUGCAACAAUCUGCUAGUCAACUUGAGGGAUCCUCAACGACCUAUAUGUAAGGUCUUAGCCUCAUUGGAGAUCUGUGGGCCUGAUAAGUAGUCGUUAUAUAUUUAAUCAAGUUCUGUACUGCUGUCGAUUUGCUGCAUUAUUUAUCUCACAUUUUGGAGCAUUUGUGAUUUCUAUUAGAGUGGUUGCAUUGUGAUUUCUAUUUAAGUCAAGUAAAGAUUCAGUAUUUCUCUGUUGGUAACGCUAUAGAGAUCAGAAGCUCCAGUAGGGAAUUUAUUUAGAGCUGUGCGUCUUGGUAAGUGUAUAUGUGGUUCAGUGAUUCUUUAUAGGAGCUGACUGUUCUUCUUUUUUUGUUGGUAUUAGGCUGACGUUGUACAUUCUCUUAGAAACUUAAAACUUGGUUGGGAUUUUCUUGUAUAUAUUCCUAGCUAUCUAGAUUUUGAGUAGUUUCUUUUAUCAUGCUCAUUUUCUGGUAAUUACCAUGAGUUGUGCCGAUAGCCAGGAGAGUUCACCAAACCACUCGACCCUCUGACAUUGAUCCAUCUAGAGAACGAGAAAAACUCUCAUGCAACGGGGAUAGCACUUUUUGCUAUCCCCGGCUAAUAACGUAAUGACAUGUAGGAUAACUUUUUCACAUGUCAUUGUGUUAUUGGUCGGGGAUAGCAAAAUAGUGCUAUCCCCGUUUCAUGUAAGUUUUUUUCCUAGAGAACGAGCCUGGCAACACCCUGAGCACCAACGAGAAUUUGGUGAUGUUGUCAGUGCUGUUCAUUCAGCCACAAAUUGGACUAAGGGGGACUGAAACCUCAGACAAAAAUUGGACUUAUACCAUUCAUUAUUAUGGUGUUCACUUGGAGGAUAUGGUGUUUGACAAUGAUGCUUAUGAAUGAGAUGUCAUAAGGUUGAAUAUAAAAUAUAUGAAAGUCCAUUUUGAAGAAUUACUGCAACUUACUAACGAAUAUAUAUAUAUAUAUAUAUAUACAUGAUUUUUAUAACUAACGAUGACCAAAGUUCCAGGGCAUGGAUCCAAACUUUUUACCUUCCUGCUCAUAAAAAUAAAAUAAGAGAAAUCAUUAUUUUUCUGAAAACACGAGCUGAAUCCUUAAUUAGCUUGUUAGUUUUGCUUCAUUGAUGCAUUUUUGCAUUUGAGUUUUCAUAAACCUAUGCAACAAGGCUCUUCUCAUCAAUGGAACAACGCCGUGAAAGUAGAGGAUUGAAAUAAUGACCGGUGAUUUAGCAUUUAAUGCAUCCAGCUAAUCUCAACCGUUCAGUUGUAACAAUAAGCUCUUUUAUUCCAACAUUAGGGGUUUUUCUGCACCGCCGAAGCCAUUCUUCUUCACGCUUUUCAGUCGCUCGAAGUAGAAGAACGCUCUGAGUCUCUGAUUCUCUGGUUCUCCUCGAGUUGCUUUGCCAUGGAUCAUCCCGAAACCUUCUUUUAUAGCUCCCUUCUUCCACAGCCGAACCAAGCCCUCAAGCAACAGCUAAUUGUAUAUGCAACUAGGGAAAUAUUGGAGGGCCGCAUCCCAUACCCAGAACAACUUAGGCCCAGGAUCUUAAGUGAUGUCAUACAAUUGCUUGAUCAGUAUCCUUCAUUAGGCCUGACCAGGCGUAGGUUUCAGCCCGAGGAGCCUGCAGUUUUGGUAGUCAGAGGCACCAUUCCUAUAUUUUACACAAACAGAGUCUAUAAAAUUCCAGUUGAGAUAUGGGUGCCGCACAGCUAUCCAACAUCUCCGCCGAGGGCGUGCGUGACUCUGGAUGACCAAAACGCAACAGCAAUCAAGUUACGUCAUCCAUAUGUCGAUGCUAGAAGGGGAGGCCUCAUAAAUGUACCACAUAUGCUGGAUUGGCACUCAGAAAGAACUCUUGUGGUUCUAGUAACCACCAUGUGUGAGUGUUUUAGUCGAGACCCACCCCUACGGGCAGGGCCAGGGCCACCACCACUGCCACCAUCGCCGCCGCAGCCGCAGCCGCAGCCACCUCAUGUGCAAGAAAGGCAGAGGCAAGAGCUAGAGGAAGAGAGGCAUAGGCAAGAGCAAGUGAUGCAGAGGCAGGAGGGAGGAAGACAACAACAAGCGCAAGAGAGGCGGUCAUCGAGCUUGUGGUAUUCUCUGAUGAGGCGUUUAGCAUUUUUGUGCAUAGUUUGUAUGUUAUUCAGCAUUACGACUUGUUCAUGGUCUACUUUUACACUUGCAGUUCUAGUCUUAGGUUUUGCUUUGUUGUGGUGAUUUCUUAUGUAAUGAUACUCGAUAUGUCAACAAAAAUCACUUGAUUGAAUGCUAAUUAGUUUUUCUGCAAUUUGGCACUUGUGUGCUGCAUUUCUGAGAAUUGUGACUUGCAGAAAUGCAGUUUAAUUGUGACAUGAGAAUUGUGA